GGGUCUAGUACAUGCCGAAAUAAGGCGAAACCGCGAAUGGCUCAUUAAAUCAGUUAUGGUUCCUUAGAUCGUUUCUUCCUACUUGGAUAACUGUGGCAAUUCUAGAGCUAAUACAUGCAGUGAGCCUGGAGCCCUUUGGGUAACGGGUGCUUUUAUUAGACCAAGAUCGAUCGGGUUUCGGCCCGUAUUGUGUGGUGACUCUGGAUAACUUUGUGCUGAUCGCAUGGCCACGAGCCGGCGACGUUUCUUUCAAGUGUCUGCCUUAUCAACUUUCGAUGGUAGGUUACUUGCUUACCAUGGUUGUUACGGGUAACGGAGAAUCAGGGUUCGAUUCCGGAGAGGGAGCCUGAGAAACGGCUACCACAUCCAAGGAAGGCAGCAGGCGCGCAAAUUACCCACUCCCGGCACGGGGAGGUAGUGACGAAAAAUAACAAUACGGGACUCUUUUGAGGCCCCGUAAUUGAAAUGAGUACACUCUAAAUCCUUUAACGAGGAUCAAUUGGAGGGCAAGUCUGGUCCCCAGCAGCCA
Molecule: ribosomal RNA, 529 nt
Filed under: Rhipicephalus microplus (southern cattle tick)
Lineage: Eukaryota; Metazoa; Arthropoda; Arachnida; Ixodida; Ixodidae
Description: SSU rRNA
Rfam family: Eukaryotic small subunit ribosomal RNA
Source: RNAcentral